Molecule: RNA transcript, 1743 nt
Organism: Rosa chinensis
Lineage: Eukaryota; Viridiplantae; Streptophyta; Magnoliopsida; Rosales; Rosaceae
Gene name: surface protein
Exons: 5
Source: RefSeq, a predicted model, not a curated record
GAGACCCUCACAGUGUUGGACAUCUGAUAAAAUUAGCCCCUAAAACCAAACCCACAGAAUCUUAUUACUCUCUCACUUCCCACCAUCAUCAAUUCAUCAAUUUCUACGGAAAUCCCAAUAGAUCCUCUACCAGUCCCACAAAACACGCUUUAUCACAGAGGCCCAGACAGUAAAUUUUGGGUCUUUUCUCUCUCUCUCUCUCUCUCUCCCUGCGUACGAUCUGUGUCUGCGAGAGACCCCAGAAAUCUGAGCAAUCAUGCCGUCAGGUGCCAAGAGGAGAAAGGCUGCCAAGAAAAAGAAGGAGAAGGAGAAUCAGACCCAAAACGGGAGUUCAUCAACCACCAAAAGCAACCCUCAAGGAGACGUAAGUGAUGGUGGUGAGGUUGGCUCUAAACCUCAAGCUAAAGAGUGGAGACCAGUCACUCGGGCUAAGUCCGUAGAGGGAGAAUCUAGUGAUGCUGAGGCUGUUCGGAAAGAUGGUGGUGUUGGAAUUGAGAGGGAUUCGAAGGAGGGUUCCAAGAGCAACAAGCGUGCUGGGUCUGGAAAGGAAUCAAUUAAAGGCUCCAGUAGUAGCAGUAGCAGUGGUAGGAGUAGUUCAGAUGACGAGUCUCGUGUCGUUGAAAGGAGAAGGAAGGAGAAGGGUGGUGCUACCGUUUCGGAGGAAAAAAAACCUGCUAGUGAUUUGGUUAAGUCGGUUGAUUCUUUACUAGCAGAAGUGACUCACUCUACUAAUGAGGCACCAGCUGAGAAGACUACAAGUUUAGUUGCAGAGAAGGCCCCUUUGGCUGAGAAGACUACAAGUUUAGUUGCAGAGAAGGCCCCUUCGGCUGAGAAGACUGCAAGUUUAGUUGCAGAGAAGGCCCCUUCGCUUGAUUCUGAUAAGCCUGUGGUGACUGUUCACUUUACAGAAACUACUCCAGUUGACGGUCUUGUGAUCUCUGGUACAGUUGUAAAACCGGCAUUGGAGAGUGGUGCAGAGAAGUCUUUAGAAACUUUGACUGAUUCGCUACCAGAGAAAAUUGAGAGUAUAGUGUGUCCCCCGCUAAUUGAGAAUGGUAAGGCAUCUCCGACUGUGGUGGAAUCUGUAUCUAAAGAAAAUGGGAGUAAAGUAUUGCCAUCAGUAGGUGUGGUGGAAUCUGUAUCUAAAGAAAACGGGAGUAAAAUAUUGCCAUCAGUAGGUGUCUCUCCCGCUCAAACUAGUAAUGAUGCUGGAUCCAUUAAAGAUUCUGAAAUUCCAGAAUAUUCUGAAAGCCAGCCUCUAGUAGCUCCUGCCCCACGAGUGGUGGAAAAAACUUCUUGCUUUGGUUGCUGCGGAAUUCUGGACGUGAUAACAGGCUCCAGGAGAUAACUUCAGGAAGUAAAAAGUGGUUGGGAUGUCAUAGGAAUGCCAUAGUUGUCCAAAUGCUAGGUUAAUCAUGCUUCGGGUUUCCUCUGAUGCAGAAUCGAAGCAUGAUGGGUCUCAGUCGACUCUUUGAAGCAUGUGAAGUGAAGAAUCUGGUUCGCAAAAUUUAUGAUAUUUUGUUAUUAGAACUUCUGAGUUUCUUUUUUUCCCAAAGAAUAAUAGGCAAGAGGCCUCCUUUGGUAAAUCAUUUUAAAGUGGUUAUAGUUUGAGGAAUGGUAGUCAGCUGAAUAUAUACAGCUUUUACAACCUUCGUUUCUUGUUUUAAUUUUGCAGAAUAGUUUCUUCUGGCAUUGUAGGGAAAUGGAGUGACCUAAAAUUGCAAGAACUUUUUUUAGUAUGAA